RNAcentral lists this ribosomal RNA (497 nucleotides) under uncultured bacterium. RNAcentral describes it as "partial 16S ribosomal RNA". It matches the Rfam family "Bacterial small subunit ribosomal RNA", at positions 28 to 507 of the family's 1533-position model. The record is from RNAcentral.
GAUGAACGCUGGCGGCGUGCCUAAUACAUGCAAGUCGAGCGAACAGACGAGUAUCUUGCUCUUCUCACGUUAGCGGCGGAUGGGUGAGUAACACGUGGACAACCCACCUAUAUGACUGGGAUAACUUCGGGAAACCGGAGCUAAUACCGGAUAAUAUAUUGAACCGCAUGGGUCAAUAGUGAAAGACGGUUUUGCUGUCACUUAUCGAUUGAUCCGCGGGUCAUUAGCUAGUUGGUAAGGUAACGGCUUACCAAGGCGACGAUGCGUAGCCGACGUUAGCAGGUGAAGGGCGACACUGGAGCUGAGACACGGUACAGACACCGACGGACGGCAGAGGUAGCUAAGGUACCGAAAAGGGGGGAAUCUUGACGGAGCAAUGCAGGGCGAGUGAAGCAGGGCUUCGUGUCGUAUGACGCUGUUAGUGUUGAAGAACGAUUGUGUAAGUGACGAUGCACGUCUUGACGGUAGCUAGUAAAAAAGCCACGGCUAACUACGUG